AUUUCCGUUUUGACAAAGAAGUGACGGAGAGGACGACGAUUUCGACACUUCUGUUCUCUGCAGCUAUUAGGGUUCUAAACUUGUAAUUCAAAGUUUAGAUUUUAGGAAAUUGCAGCAAUCAGCAAAACAUGGCACCGAGAAAGAAGACAUCAUCUAUGAUUUGGCAGAUGCGCAAUGGCCUCUCAUUGGUGGUGUUCCAAGCCACCUCGAUGGCUAGACUGUACAUUGCAAGAUAGUAAGUCAUGUUUAUCUCUUAUUAAUGCCUUGGAGCCAAAGUUGAGCCACACACGAGAUGAAGUCAGCUUCAGGAGGGAGGAUUUCUCAAUCAAUGUCGUCGAAGUUUUGGUUUGACGGAAGAGGAGAAUUGAAGUUGUGGUUCACUGUCAAGGAUGUCAUGGAAUGCUUCAAAGAUCCUCAAGGCUCAUCAGUUCUUCUUGUUUGCACUAACUAUGGCAGAAGUCUGUGGAAAUAAGGUGGGUUUUCACUUGUUUGAUGUGGUGGUUAACGACAAUUCUUUGAGAUCUGCUUGGCUGACACGAAGCUCGUCUUCAAAGCUGAUUAGUGAGCCACCACCCUCUGGAUCCUUCGCGU
Arabidopsis thaliana (thale cress) is the source of this 591-nucleotide non-coding RNA. NCBI's taxonomy places the organism in Eukaryota, Viridiplantae, Streptophyta, Magnoliopsida, Brassicales, Brassicaceae. The record is from RefSeq.